UAGCAUGGAAUAAUGGAAUAGGACGCGUGGUUCUAUUUUGUUGGUUUCUAGGACCGCCGAAUGAUUAAUAGGGACAGUCGGGGGCAUCAGUAUUCAAUUGUCAGAGGUGAAAUUCUUGGAUCUAUUGAAGACUAACUACUGCGAAAGCAUUUGCCAAGGAUGUUUUCAUUGAUAAGGAACGAAAGUUAGGGGAUCGAAGACGAUCAGAUACCGUCGUAGUCUUAACUAUAAACUAUGCCGACUAGGGAUCGGACGAUGUUAUUUCUUGACGCGUUCGGCACCUUUCGAGAAAUCAAAGUGCUUGGGCUCCAGGGGGAGUAUGGUCGCAAGGCUGAAACUUAAAGAAAUUGACGGGAGGGCACCACCAGGGGUGGAACCUGCGGCUUAAUUUGACUCAACACGGGGAAACUCACCAGGUCCAGACACAGUGAGGAUUGACAGAUUGAGAGCUCUUUCUUGAUUCUGUGGGUGGUGGUGCAUGGCCGUUCUUAGUUGGUGGAGUGAUUUGUCUGCUUAAUUGCGAUAACGAACGAGACCUUAACCUGCUAAAUAGCCCGUACUGCUUUGGCAGUUCGCCGGCUUCUUAGAGGGACUAUCGGCUCAAGCCGAUGGAAGUUUGAGGCAAUAACAGGCCUGUGAUGCCCUUAGAUGUCCUGGGCCGCACGCGCGUUACACUGACAGGGCCAGCGAGUACCUCCUUGACCGAAAGGUCCGGG
This 716-nucleotide ribosomal RNA is filed under the name uncultured fungus. RNAcentral's name for it is "SSU rRNA". It matches the Rfam family "Eukaryotic small subunit ribosomal RNA", at positions 805 to 1546 of the family's 1831-position model. Lineage: Eukaryota; Fungi. The record is from RNAcentral.